AGAUGGUAUGCAGCUUAAAUGCAAGUGUACAUAUAUGAACUACGCAAUGAAUUAUUAUUACAAUGCUAAUUACGUACUAGAUAGUCAAUAUGAACUUGUAUUUCAAUAUCUAAAAUAGAUUACAUAACGAGUGGGUCAUGUAUAAUAGAUUAAGUUCUUCUAAAAUAUAUUCCGUUCUAACAAAAUAUAUUAUGUUCUUGUAAAAUAGAUUACGUUCUUCCACACUUUAUUUUACAAUGUAAAAAAGUUCUUCCACACUUUUGACAAAACGUAGAUAUUAAGUUCUGACAAAUAAUAGAAACACGCCUUCAAUAAUUAUACACGCGGGAAAUGUUAUCGAAAGUAGAUAGGUAGAAUCAAGUUACUUCUACUUCAUAUGGCCUCGUUUGCAACCCGAUAAUCGCCAACAAACUCCUCGUAGCAGUCCAUUGCAUACUGCUCGCGAAUUUUAUCCACAACUAUGUCGGUGAUCAAACUCAUCUCUUCUUUCCCAUCACCAUUAGAAUGCAUCUCCAUAAAAUUAGCGGCGCAAGGCGC
Molecule: long non-coding RNA, 537 nt
Filed under: Brassica napus (rape)
Lineage: Eukaryota; Viridiplantae; Streptophyta; Magnoliopsida; Brassicales; Brassicaceae
Description: long non-coding RNA (BNAP_LNC008430)
Source: RNAcentral